ACAACUUUCAGCAAUGGAUCUCUUGGUUCUCGCAUCGAUGAAGAACGCAGCGAAUCGCGAUAAGUAAUGUGAAUUGCAGAUUUUCAGUGAAUCAUCG
This 97-nucleotide ribosomal RNA is filed under the name Leccinum sp. 'Bremen 26'. RNAcentral describes it as "partial 5.8S ribosomal RNA". It matches the Rfam family "5.8S ribosomal RNA", at positions 1 to 94 of the family's 154-position model. From Rfam's summary of the family: 5.8S ribosomal RNA (5.8S rRNA) is a component of the large subunit of the eukaryotic ribosome. It is transcribed by RNA polymerase I as part of the 45S precursor that also contains 18S and 28S rRNA. The record is from RNAcentral. Lineage: Eukaryota; Fungi; Basidiomycota; Agaricomycetes; Boletales; Boletaceae.